Molecule: microRNA precursor, 90 nt
Organism: Callithrix jacchus (white-tufted-ear marmoset)
Lineage: Eukaryota; Metazoa; Chordata; Mammalia; Primates; Cebidae
Source: Ensembl
GGUAUUUGAAGAUGCGGUUGACCAUGGUGUGUACGCUUUAUUUAUGACGUAGGACACAUGGUCUACUUCUUCUCAAUAUCACAUCUCGCC